Molecule: long non-coding RNA, 1867 nt
Organism: Scophthalmus maximus (turbot)
Lineage: Eukaryota; Metazoa; Chordata; Actinopteri; Pleuronectiformes; Scophthalmidae
Exons: 4
Source: RefSeq, a predicted model, not a curated record
GGUCAAAUGUAUUCAAGAUGGACAGCUAGAAGUCUGCUAACAACAACAGUUGCCCUUUACGUCUUGAAAAACGGGAUAAAAAUGAUCAUCAAAGUCAUUCAGUGUUGGAUAUAUCGUCAUGGACAUGUUGUACAAAAGUCUCCGAAAUGAAACCGAAGUUCCAGACCGCGUUACAAAUCUUCUGAGAGGGCCACGAUCGCACGGAAGCCCUUACUGGAACGGCGCACGUCUUAGCUUCCCAUCAAAACAAACCCGCCGAUCAACUGAGUCAACCGAAAGCACUCUGGAGGUGGCUGUGGUUAAACUGAAACGCGGCGGUGCAGCAGUGACGCCAUGAGAACAUGCAACAUAAGUUUACAGGGUGUGUUCAUUCAGGGCAAAACGUUUAUGGUGAAAUUCCUCACAAACAUGUUGUGAUGAUCAACCCGACUGCUUGGACCUCUCAAUUUCCCUUCUUGCACCACUAACUCUUGUUAUAUCUCCACAGAUCAUCCCUUGAUAAUUCUGAUGCCAGACAAAGCCAAAUCUCUCUCACUUAUGUCCCACCUGGAAAUCAAAACUCUUGCCGUGUUCCAGACAGGGCUGGUGUUCCAGACAGCUUGCCUAUCUACCUAGUCAUAAUCACAGCUCAACUAUAUAUUCCAGAUGAGUCACGGCAGUCAGGAGACACGUCUGACGCCUUACCACGGAAGGAUUCGCCUCUCAGCCCUCGGUGGAUGCUAUCUUGACGACUGCAUUGACUGGGAACACCGAGGCAUCGGUCACCCAAACACAAACCGCUCCCGCAACAAAAGCCCCACCCUCCGGAAGUGAGAAACUACAGAUGACAGGAUGUGACGACAUCAUCAGCCCCAUCACAUGGCCUGUCUUCCCAGUGACCAUGGAGAUGUUUUCAGAUGUCUUUUCCUUUUUCUUUUUGUUCAUCCAGAUGUCCAAAACCAAAAGCUGUUCAGUUUUUUUAUCAUAGAGGACAAAGAAAAAAACAGAAUACAUUCAAUUUUGAGAUGGGAAUGUUGCUCGUAAAAUUACUCAAACUCUGGUCAGACUGUUGAUUGAUGAAUCAACAAAUGACUUCACCUCUUAACUUCUAAACUGGGGAAUGUUUGACAAGGUUGGACUACGAGUUUUUGAUAUUAUAUAGAAACUUUGUGAGUGGACGCCUAGAAUUGUACAAUAUGCACCAAUAUUUCCAGACCUCAGGAUUUGCAGAAUGGUAAGAUGUGAGGUCAAAUACAGGUUGCCUGUAGUAGACUGGGUUAAUAUAAAACAACCGAUAUGGCCUGUUAACAAUAAAACUAUAGCUAAACCAAAGAACCUUCAUUUUUGGCUAAACAUUAACACUAUACACAAUAAACCUGUAAGAGUCGUCUGUCUACAGUUUUCAACUGUAUGUUCUCCAAAAUGCUAACACCUGGGUCCACCUGCCUUUUGUAACUCUUACCCUGCGUGAGCGUGUAAGAUAAACUUAUGUUAUCCAAUGAUAUUAUCUGAACAGCCUGGCUGGUGGAUAGGUCCUGUAGAAAUACAGCACACUUUCUGUCUACAACGCAUACAUUAUUUUGACAGAUCAUUUAUAUUGAACUGAUUUUAUUUUGUCUUAAACUCUAUGCUGUAACGUUAAGACAGGUUCAGGUUUCGGUAACAGGACAGUGAAAAGCCAAAGACACUGUUAAAGAUAAUAUUUGGCCUAGAUUCAGUCCUAUAAAAAAAGGAUAUUAACAUGGGGCUUGUUGUAAGGUUUAUGUAGUCGACUGUGUCUGACAGGAAAUGUAUUUUUUUUUAUUGCACUACUGUAAUAGAACACCCCGUGACCCUGAAUGAGAAUAAGUAAGCAUUGAAAAUAAAUGGUCGGAUGUUAGGGAUACAA